GGUUAAGCGACUAAGCGUACACGGUGGAUGCCUAGGCAAUCAGAGGCGAUGAAGGACGUGCUAAUCUGCGAUAAGCGUCGGUAAGGUGAUAUGAACCGUUACAACCG
RNAcentral lists this ribosomal RNA (107 nucleotides) under Providencia rettgeri. RNAcentral describes it as "partial 23S ribosomal RNA". It matches the Rfam family "Bacterial large subunit ribosomal RNA", at positions 1 to 106 of the family's 2925-position model. Lineage: Bacteria; Pseudomonadati; Pseudomonadota; Gammaproteobacteria; Enterobacterales; Morganellaceae. RNAcentral also lists the same sequence under 1 other name. The record is from RNAcentral.